CACUGUGUGGUGCCCUACUUAGAAAGGUGCAGAUUGCUUAAACUAAGUGUAAUUUGUGCCUUUCUGAGUAGAGUAACACUCAGUAA
Molecule: non-coding RNA, 86 nt
Organism: Pteropus alecto (black flying fox)
Lineage: Eukaryota; Metazoa; Chordata; Mammalia; Chiroptera; Pteropodidae
Source: Rfam